Long non-coding RNA from Piliocolobus tephrosceles (Ugandan red Colobus), 5172 nucleotides. NCBI's taxonomy places the organism in Eukaryota, Metazoa, Chordata, Mammalia, Primates, Cercopithecidae. The record is from Ensembl.
GCAUUAAUUUAUGCAUUAAUUUUUUUUAUGUUUUUGAAAAAUUUUUCCAUAUUUUUUUUUUUUAUAUUUUUGGAAUUACUAAUGAAUGUAACAUAAAUUUUGGUACAGCUUCUUAAUUAAAGUGUAUAUUAUUUUAUAUAAAUUUUUGCGUUUUUUUUUUGAACAAAAUAUAAUAAAUUAAAAAUGGUUUUAAAAUUAUAAAUUAUUUUUAAAAUCAUUUCACAAAUAAUAAAGACUUUGUUAAUAAAAAGAAGAAAUACAAACACUAAUAUAAGUAUUUAUAUAAGUAUUUAUAUAAGUAUUUCUAUAUGCAUAUAUCUAUAUUUUGAAUUUUUCUAUUUUUAAAUAAACUUUGGAUAUAUAUGUCAUGGUAAACCAUGGUAAAAUAUUUUUUUAUUAUUUAGUAUUCUGCUCACGUGUUUGUUUAGUCGUUCUUUCGCUUGUCCUUCCGUCUGUUUGACAAUUUGCUUAUUCAUUUGUUAUUAUUAUUAUUAUUAUUAUUAUUAAUAUUAUUUUAUUUAUUUUUUUUUUUUUAUUGUUCCCCAUAAAUAUAUUUUUUAAAGAUGUCUGCAGAGGAAAUAAAAAAAAACGAUUAUGAAGACAUAUUGUUAAAAUUAUCAUUAACAAAUGAUGACAAAAUUGGAAAUGUAUUGUACAAAUUAAUUCCCAUUUUAUUAGAUGAAGUAUUAUUAUGUGAAAAGAGUUUUAAAGUUUUAUUAACAAAAAUAAUCAACCAUUGUAUGAUAAGAUGUAAAUCGAUAGAGAAUUUGCGUAUGCCUCUUGCUGAAAUAGCUUAUAAUCAUUUUAAAAAUAUUGAUAAUGUUAGCAGUGAUAGAAUAUUAUAUGACAAAAUAUUUUGUUUAUUUUUAGAUAUAGGGUUUAAAAGUAAGCAUGAUGAAGAGAAAUUAAAAUUUCUAAAAGCAAUAAUUGAAAAUAGUGAAAAACUUCGAGUACAUAAAUCUAUUAGUAUAUUUCUUAUAAUAAAAUUUGCUGAAAGUUUAGAAAUUUUAAACGAUAGUAAUAAUAAAAAAUAUAUGGAAGAAUUUAUUUUGAAUCAUUUAAGAAAAGUAGUUAAUGAUGUAGACAAUGCUACAUCUAUUUUAAGUGCUAGUGCUAUUGCCAAUUUAAGUGCUAGUACUAUCACUAAUGCUAGUUUAUAUGGUAGUACUAUUACUGAGAGUAAAGAAAUGAAAACCAAGUAUUCUCAUGAUAACCACACUAACCUAUUAGAUGAUAACAAGAUUUAUAAUUUUAUGAAAUGUUUAAAUGAAUUUUUAGCUUUUCCUAUUAAUAAUAAAAAUAUAGAAGAUAUAAAAUUUCUUUCAUCAGACAUAUUGGAUGUAUAUGUACAUGUUUUAUAUCAAAGAAAUUAUUCACAUAAGAAUCACAUAAAAAUGAAAAAUAAUAUUUUGAAUUUUUUAAGUACAUAUUUAUAUAACACGAAUUUAACAUAUUCUGCUUAUGUUAUUUGUUCUAAUGAAAAAUAUGAUGAAGUAAGAUAUUAUGCGAAUACAUUAAUUCAAAGUAAAAAAAGGUUUAUAAAUUUUGAUAAUAAUCCUUUGAUUAUUUCUUUAUAUUUAGAAAUAUUAAAAUAUUUUGACAACAAUAUAUAUCCAAUUAAUUAUGUAAUAAAGGUUUUAAGUAUAUUUCAAAAUAAUAAAAGUUGUGUUUUUAAGGAUAAAAAGAUUUUAUAUAUGUUUCUAAGUUAUAUAUAUUUUUUUCUUUUUUUUUUUAAUGAUGAUUUGCAAAAUAUAGAUUUUGUUACUAAUUUUAAGCAGUUUGGAUUGAUAUUUAAUGAUAAAAAGCAGUUUUUAAAAUAUUUAUUUAAAAAAAAAUAUUCCAUUAUGUUAAAAAAUAAAGAGUUAAUAAACUGCUUACACAACUUAAUGAUACAGGUAAUUGAAAAUACUGAAAAAGUGUGCUUAGACAAGUAUAGUGAUUAUAUUUUUUGUUAUAUAUAUUGUAAUUUAGUUCAGGAGGAAGAAAAAGGGGUUGUUGGUGGGGGUAUAAAUAAGGGCAGUAUAAAUAAUAGCAGUAUAAAUAAUAGCAGUAUAGAUAGUGGCAGUAUAGAUAGUGGCAGUAUAGAUAGUGGCAAUACCAAUUCGGAUGCAAUAAGAAGUGGUAACAAUAAUGACAUUAACAUUAGUGAUAAUACUGUAGACUUAACAGCUAUUUCAAAUUUUAUAGAAAAAUUUUAUGAUAGACAUACAAAAGAUGAAGAGGUAAAUAUAAACUUACUAAAUAGAUCUUUUGUAUUAGCUUAUAUAUUUUUAAAUAAAUUAAAAAAAGUUAAACAAGUAAAGAGAGAAUCAUACAUUGUGUAUAAUGACUUAAGUAAAGUGUUAACACAUUUAGAGAAAUAUAUAAAAAAUUGUUUUAAUAUAUUUAGUAGUAAAGAACAAAAAAAAAUUAAAUAUUUGCCUUGUAAUAUUAUUACUAUUAACGAUUAUGAUAAUAUACAUGAUAUUGUAACAACAAUUGAAAAUAAAAUUUUACACAAUGAAAAUUAUACAGAUAUUAAAGCAUCAAAUAGUUAUGAAAAUAUAACAAGUAUAAAAAAUAUAAUUAUUGAAAAUGUUAUGAAUUUAUUAGAUAGAUUUAUUAUUUUUUCGAACAAUACUUUAUUAUCCAGUUUUUUACUAAAAUGGAGUUCUAAUAUGUUUUCUUGUGGUACUUGUGAAUUUUUGUAUUAUCCUUUACUUUUUCAAAAUAAUAAUGAUGCAGUUUUGUCAGAUAUUGUUAAGAAUGCGUUAAAAUCAAAUGAGAAAGAAAAAAGGUUAUCUAUUGAUGAAUAUAUUUUGUUUUUAUCAAAAAAGUGGUGUCCCAUAAACAAAAAUAUUAGAAUUUUUAUUAUUACUGAUACGUGUUUACGGUACUGUAAUUCAUUUUCAUCAUCUUUGACAGGUUAUAUACAAGAGAGUGUAUCAGAGAACAUUCAUAGAGAUGUACCACUAGAUAUACCUGUCAAUGUGUCAAAUGUAUGCUCAGAAAGUGAUAAAUACAAAAUAAUGGAAAUAAAAAUAGACGAAAUUAGUACUUUGAUAAAACUGGAGUAUAAAAAAAUAGAGCAUGGUGCGAUUUUUUUAAUAAAUGAUAUAAAUAGUAUUAUGAAUUAUACGAAUAUAAAUUAUGUAAAUUAUGAUUUGGAUAAUUUAUAUUAUGUAAUUAAAUAUAUUGAAAAAUUGAACUUUUCCAAAUUUAAUUGCAUGGAAACUUUUUUUUAUGCAUUCUUCUUUUUAGAUUUAUUUUUAACGCUUAUUUUAAAUAGUGAUCAGGGUAAAAAAAAUAAGUAUUACAUAAUUUACUGCUCCGUUUUUACCUUAAUUGUAAAAUCUUUACCAGUUUUGUUUCAUAAUAAUAGUAAAAGUAUUAGUAAUAGUGUUAGUAAUAAUUUACAAAGCUGUAAUGGUAAUAAUGUUGAUAACAAAAAAAAUUUAGACGCUAAAAAAAACGAUAAUACAAUAAUAGUUGAUAGUUUAACAAUUUUUAUAAAAAAAAAACUACCAAUACUGUUAGAAAAUAUUUUGUAUAGUGAAGAUCAUAAAUUAGUAAAAGAAGGAAGUAAGUUGUUAAUAAAUUUAUAUUUAUUGACAAAAAAAACAAAUGAAGAUUUGUUUGAUGAUAUUUUAAAAUUAUUAAAACUUAUGGAUUUAAAAACUAUGGAUUUAAAGGAAAUGGAUGGAAUAAAAAUGAAUCGAAUGGAAAGUACAAAGAAAAAUAAAAUGAUAUGUUCUCAAAUAUAUUUGUUCGGUUACUUAAUAAAAAAGGAAACAUAUUUUUAUGAAAAAUAUGAUUUUUUGUUAGAAAAAGUUACGGAUUAUGUGUUAUACAUAUAUUACAAUUGUAUAAAAACCAAAAAUAAAUUAGUUGAAAAUUUAAUUUUGUUAAAAUAUUGUAUAAAUUUUUUUUAUUCAAUAUUUUUUACAGAACAAUUUUUAUUAAAAUGGUGUAAAGUGUUAAGUAAUAGUGAUUACAUUCUUGCAGAGGUGUCUACUGGUUUUAUUAGUAACGAUAUUAUGGACAAUAGUGGAAUGAACAAAGGCUGUUACGAAAGUUGUCGUGAAAAUAAUAGUAUUUGUAAUAACAAUUCAAAUAUGUACAAAUAUAUUGUCCAGAUUUUUGUAGACAUAGCGAAAUAUGUAAAAGAUAAUAAUAACACAAUUGAUUAUGAUUUUACGUUACUAAAAAGUAUUUUAAAAGUUUUUAGUUGUUUUGUAACUUUAAAAAGUGAUGAUGUUAAUUUUAUGAUAAAGGAAGAUAUCCAACAUACUAUGAUAAGCAAUGAUAAUUUUUGGAUUGAAAAACUUUAUGGCCGUUAUAUUUCUAACAUAUUUUUAAAAUUAGAUAAAAUAAACUCAAAUAAAAUAGGAAAUGAUUUUAUGCAAUUUAUUCAUAAAUGUUUUGAUAAUAAUUUGGAAAGGGAUAAUAUAAUUUUAAAUAAAAAAAAAAAGAAUUUUUUAUGUAUUAUUUUGUUUUAUAUAAUAUAUUAUAAUCCAUUUUUAGAAUAUAUAAAUGAAAAUGUAUCAUUUAUAAAAAAUAUAUUUAUUGACAAUAUAAAAUCUGAAAAUGGUAUAUGUUCUGAUUAUGGUUUCUUAGGGUUAAGUGUUUUAUUUUUUGCACUAUCGAUGCAAGUAAAUAUAGAUAUUAGUAACACAGAAUGGUUAAAAAAAAAUUAUAGUUGGUUAAAAGAAAAAAAUAGUAUUUUCAAUACGUACCAUAAUAACAGUGAACAAACGAAUGGCAUUUAUAAUGAACAAACGGACAAAAAUGAUAAUGAGCAGACAGACAAAAAUGAUAAUGAACAAGCGAACAACAAUGAUAAUGAACAAGCGAACAANNNNNNNNNNAACAAGCGAACAACAAUGAUAAUGAACAAGCGAACAACAAUGAUAAUAAACAAGGGAACAACAAUUAAAAAUAAAUAAUAUGAAUAACGAUAUUUAUAUAUUUGAAAAAGAGGUUUUUAUUAAUAUAUCAGAAAUGUACAAACUUUUUGAUAAUAUAUUAGAUAUAUUUGAUGAAAUUAAAGAGUUUGAUAUAUUUUAUUAUAUGUAUCGUUUUUUAAUUAAUAUUCCUGCUAUUUUUAUUAAAAAUUUUAAUUUAUUAAAACUGUUCAAAAUUUAUAAUGUAUUAUUAAAUAAAUAUUUUUAUAAUCGUAAUAAUGAUAUAGCU